AUGGCCGUCGUUGAUAUCGUCGGGGAUCCACGAGCACCACGUCGCGCGCACCACGACGGCCACGAGCGCCGAGCUCGCGUAGUUGCCCAGCGCAAACGCCGCGCUGGAGAGCCCCGAGCAGACGCUCCGCAUGGCGUCCGGCGCCUGGUCAUAGAAGAACUCCAUCUGCCCGAUGAACGUGAACACCUCUGCGGCACCCACCACCACGUACUGCGGCACCUGCCAGAAGAUCGACAUCGGCACGUACCUCGCGCCGUCCUCGCCGGUGUAGGUUCCGUGGCGCGCGACGACGCGGCGCCGCGCCACCUCGAGCGUGCCGGCGGCGAGCAUGGCAACAGUGAGAAUGACGAAGCCCACACCCAUGCGCGCCAGCUGCGUGAACCCGCAGCGGUGGCCCGUGAGCGGCACCCAGAGCAUGACGCUGAGGGUGUCGAAGACGGUGAGCACGGCGGGGGGCACGCGGAAGCUGCCGACGCGCGGGUCCAGCGUGUCACCCUGGAGGAUGAAGGUGGUGGUCAUCUGCGUGUAGGCGGCCGCGAAGAUGAUGCCGCACGCCCACACCGGCAGCAGUCGGAGCACGCACUUGAGCUCCUCCACCUGCGUCACGGUGCACAGCCGCCACGGGCUCGCCGGCCGCGCCUUGUCGCCCGCCGUCUCCACCGCCGCCUUGUCCAAGAACCUGAGUGA
RNAcentral lists this ribosomal RNA (687 nucleotides) under Triticum aestivum (bread wheat). RNAcentral's name for it is "partial small subunit ribosomal RNA". Lineage: Eukaryota; Viridiplantae; Streptophyta; Magnoliopsida; Poales; Poaceae. The record is from RNAcentral.